RNAcentral lists this ribosomal RNA (491 nucleotides) under uncultured bacterium. RNAcentral's name for it is "partial 16S ribosomal RNA". It matches the Rfam family "Bacterial small subunit ribosomal RNA", at positions 29 to 507 of the family's 1533-position model. The record is from RNAcentral.
AGUGAACGCUGGCGGUAGGCCUAACACAUGCAAUCGAACGGCAGCACAGUAAGAGCUUGCUCUUACGGGUGGCGAGUGGCGGACGGGUGAGGAAUACAUCGGAAUCUACUUUUUCGUGGGGGAUAACGUAGGGAAACUUACGCUAAUACCGCAUACGACCUACGGGUGAAAGCAGGGGAUCUUCGGACCUUGCGCGAUUGAAUGAGCCGAUGUCGGAUUAGCUAGUUGGCGGGGUAAAGGCCCACCAAGGCGACGAUCCGUAGCUGGUCUGAGAGGAUGAUCAGCCACACUGGAACUGAGACACGGUCCAGACUCCUACGGGAGGCAGCAGUGGGGAAUAUUGGACAAUGGGCGCAAGCCUGAUCCAGCCAUACCGCGUGGGUGAAGAAGGCCUUCGGGUUGUAAAGCCCUUUUGUUGGGAAAGAAAAGCAGCAGGUUAAUACCCCGCUGUUCUGACGGUACCCAAAGAAUAAGCACCGGCUAACUUCGUG